UGAGUUGUGGCUCGAUGGUAGAGCACUUGCUUAGCAUGUGUGAGGCACUGGGUUUGAUUCUCAGCACCACAU
This 72-nucleotide transfer RNA is filed under the name Ictidomys tridecemlineatus (thirteen-lined ground squirrel). RNAcentral describes it as "Spermophilus tridecemlineatus (thirteen-lined ground squirrel) tRNA". It matches the Rfam family "tRNA". Rfam says of the family: Transfer RNA (tRNA) molecules are approximately 80 nucleotides in length. Lineage: Eukaryota; Metazoa; Chordata; Mammalia; Rodentia; Sciuridae. The record is from Rfam by way of RNAcentral.